Molecule: ribosomal RNA, 664 nt
Filed under: uncultured archaeon
Lineage: Archaea
Description: bacterial SSU rRNA
Rfam family: Archaeal small subunit ribosomal RNA
Source: RNAcentral
GGACCGCCAUAACCUCGGGAAACUGAGGCUAAUAGCGGAUAGCGCUCUCGAGCUGGAACAGCCGGGAGCGUGAAACGUUCCGGCGCCACAGGAUGUGACUGCGGCCGAUUAGGUAGAUGGUGGGGUAACGGCCCACCAUGCCGAUAAUCGGUACGGGUUGUGAGAGCAAGAGCCCGGAGACGGACUCUGAGACAAGAGUCCGGGCCCUACGGGGCGCAGCAGGCGCGAAACCUUUACACUGCGCGACAGCGCGAUAGGGGGACACCGAGUGCGAGGGCAUAGAGCCCUCGCUUUUGUGUACCGUAAGGUGGUACACGAAUAAGGGCUGGGCAAGACCGGUGCCAGCCGCCGCGGUAACACCGGCAGCCCAAGUGAUGGCCGCUAUUAUUGGGCCUAAAGCGUCCGUAGCCGGCCGUUCAGGUCCGUCGGGAAAUCCACUGGCUCAACCAGUGGGCGUCCGGCGGAAACCGUUCGGCUUGGGACAGGGAGACCAGAGGGGUACGUCCGGGGUAGGAGUGAAAUCCCGUAAUCCUGGACGGACCAUCGGUGGCGAAAGCGCCUCUGGAGAACUGAUCCGACGGUGAGGGACGAAAGCUAGGGUCUCGAACCGGAUUAGAUACCCGGGUAGUCCUAGCCGUAAACGAUGCUCGCUAGGUGGUGGCGC